RNAcentral lists this transfer RNA (73 nucleotides) under archaeon. RNAcentral's name for it is "tRNA-Val". It matches the Rfam family "tRNA". Rfam says of the family: Transfer RNA (tRNA) molecules are approximately 80 nucleotides in length. Their secondary structure includes four short double-helical elements and three loops (D, anti-codon, and T loops). Further hydrogen bonds mediate the characteristic L-shaped molecular structure. tRNAs have two regions of fundamental functional importance: the anti-codon, which is responsible for specific mRNA codon recognition, and the 3' end, to which the tRNAs corresponding amino acid is attached (by aminoacyl-tRNA synthetases). tRNAs cope with the degeneracy of the genetic code in two manners: having more than one tRNA (with a specific anti-codon) for a particular amino acid; and 'wobble' base-pairing, i.e. permitting non-standard base-pairing at the 3rd anti-codon position. The record is from RNAcentral.
GGGCCUGUGGUCUAGCCGGUAUGACAACGCCCUCACACGGCGUAGGUCCCCGGUUCAAAUCCGGGCGGGCCCA